RNAcentral lists this long non-coding RNA (2065 nucleotides) under Homo sapiens (human). Its description in RNAcentral is "HSALNT0314922". The record is from RNAcentral. Lineage: Eukaryota; Metazoa; Chordata; Mammalia; Primates; Hominidae.
CUGUUACUUGAAAUCAAGUGGUUCUAACUUAUGGAAGAUGGUUUCAUCAGUGUCUAGACAUGCUAACCUUUAAAGUCUUAUUGUUUUUGGAGAGUUUCCACCCCUCCAGGUUCGAAGCCAUUACCAGAGUGCUGCUGAAGCCCCUUGCAGAUGUGAGGGGACCUCUCAUGCCAAGUCUUAUGGCUGCAAAGACAUCGCAUUCCACAGUGUGGUGUCAGAGAAGAGGUAAAGGGCAUAAUUUUUCUUUUUUGGGAAAUUGCUGAUUUUUUUUCCCUAGUUAUAUAAGCAAUAACUGUUCAAUAUAAAAAUUUCAGGAUGUAUAGAAAACCAUAAACAGGAAAUGAAAAACAAUAACCUGUUAUUCCAACUCUUGGAGAUAGCCACCUUUAGCAUCCUGGUGGGUAGUUUUCCAGGAAGGAAUUUUUUAAAAAGGAGAAACAAAACCCUAAUGAGGCUCCUCCUGUUACCUAGACCCAAGGGAGCAAGUCAGAAGCCAGCUAGAAAUGCAGAUGGAGACCUUGCCAAGUUUUAACUAGAAGGGGCUUGUGGGGUACAUUCAAAGGAGGUGUCAUUCCUACCCUCAGUGAGACCAGUUAAUAACAUCCAGGCAAAAUUAAAAUUUGGGAAUGGAAAAAAAACAGGAGAAAUGCUUAACACUUUUUUUUUUUCUCUUUGAAGGAGAUACUGAGGGAAUCUGCCUAUAGGGCUGUAGGCAAAGGGCUCAGAGGAAACUGUAAACAAAACAGAGUUCUGUCCAGCCCUAGUUUUCAUAGGCAGUUGCUACUUUUUAGUGAAAGCUAGUAAGGAAUUUUCAGACAUUCAAAAAUGUAAUCCAUGGGGAAAAAACCCCUACAAUGUAAGUAAUAAAAUUAUCACCCAUUUUAUGGUUGAAGAAAUGGAGACUCACGUGAGGUAACUUGCCUAAGGACACACACCAAGGGAAAGGAGGCAGAGCUGGGAGUCAAAUCCAAAAUUGCCUCAAAAUCAUUACUUUUCCAUCACAGCACAUUGUUUUGAGGCACCUUAUUCUGGAAAAACAGGUAAAGUCCUGGCUUCCAUCAAGGUACAAGGAUCUGUAUACUCUUACAGAAUGUAUCCUCCAAAUUUGGAGACUCAACCAUAAACUAUCAUCCUCCGAAAUGGAUGCUAAGAAUGUGGAAGAAAACAUUCUCCAAAUCUUCUUAGGGAAUAAGCUGGCCUGGUAGAUUAUUUAUAAAUGUAACUCUCAAGAUGACAGCAUUCCCAUCUCCUCCAGCAGUCCUGGGAGAGAACUCUCUCCAGUCACCUUGGGAAGAUUUCCCUCUCCUACAACAGCUAACAUCAGUGGAGCUGCCAGCAUAUUCACUCUAAGGACACAACAAAAGGCACUAUCUUUGAAGAGCGUGAACCCUUACCAGAUGGAAUCUGCUGACACCUUGAUCUUGGACUUCCCAGCCUCCAGAACUGUGAGAAUAAAUUUCUGUUGUUUAUACAUUACCCAACCUAAGAUAAUCUUCUUAUAGCAGCAGGAACCAUCUAAGACAUCCUCUAAGGUGAGAUGCAACUACAACUCUGAUGAUGUGUCUCCCCACCAUGAAAUGAUGCUGCACCACUGACUAGGCCAUCCUAGGGCAUGAUGCUUUGUGGUAGCUGCCUCUGCCAUCUAAAUGGGGACCACUACAGCCACAAGCUGAGCAGGCAUUCUGGUUCCUAGCUUUUCUCAUUGAGAAAUCAGGGCAAGCAGCCUCAUUUACCUAAGUUGCAGGUUCUCUUGAGCUGUGUAGGCCCAUUCUCAGCUCCCUGUGGUGUCUUCUUCAUAUGUACAAUAACGUGUAAACAUUUAGAUGUUUGUCUACAUAUUUGAAGAGGCAUGCUGAUGCUGAAAUAUUUUUCUCUUUUGAAGAGAGGGAAAGCAGCUUGACUGAAAACCAAUAGACUCCCCAACUUUAUAACUAACUUAUAAUCACUUCACCUUCUAGGGCUGGUUUCCUCUACCAGAAAAUGGGGAAAGACAAACUGGUUUCGCAACCAGUGAAACCAUUCAGCCAAUAGCGAGAAAUAAACAGACAAGCUCCUUUAAAAAUGA